AUGAACGGGACGAACAAGGAUGAUGAAAGUGACGACAAUGAGGAGGAGGAGGAUGAUGAUGAGAGGAAGAACAAGGGGAAGAGCAAGGGGGCUGAUGAUGUGAUGAAGAGAAAGAAGGAGGAUGUGGAUGUGAUGAAGGGGAAGAAGAAGGAGGAUGACAAUGGUAAUAGCCCCGGCAGAUGCAAAUCCGUAGAGGAGGAGGUCGGUGGGGAGGACGACGGAAACAGCACUCACGACGACAGUUCUGAUGCCAAUGCUGACGAAGAGGAGUCUGACGACACUACAGAGACAGAGGAGGAGGAGGAGGAGGAGGAGGAGCAGGAGGCGGAGGAGGAAGAAGAAGAAGAAUCUGACGAGGCAGAGCAGGACCGGCGUGUCGCGCCUAGACGCAACGGCGAGGCAGGGCAGGACCAGCGUGUCGCGCCUCGCAGCACCGGCGAGGCCGGUGGGAGGGCCAGACCAGCCGUCGAGGGCUUGCCAAGAAUCAGAAAGAGGAGAUUCGAGGGGUUGUGGAUCGUCGAGGAGCCCGACACCACCGCCCCCCCUCCCGGCCGGGGUCUCAUCAGUGAGCGGACACGGUCGCAGCUGAGCUGCUCCAACAAGAAACUGCUGAAACGUGGUACUGUAAGCAGGCCGGUCCUGCUCGACACAUCUUCCUCCGGCUCCGAGCCAGAGGAAGCCGUGCCACCGCCUCAGCCAACCAGCUGGGCGGCCGAGGACGACAGCGCCGGCGAAGACAGAAGGCCGGCGAAUAGGAAGAAGAAGAGACGGUGCCGGGAGCAGAUCGGCCAAGGCGGGCGCUCAGAGGAAGAGGACGACCACAACGACGACCCAGACGCUGAACCUGACGACGACAGAACGUUCCCAUGGAACGCCAGGAAGGGGCCGAGCUCAAGCCGGCCGAAGACCGGAGCGUCAAACCGGCAGCAGUCCGCUGCCAAAGAACGUGGCAAAACCCACGCUGGCUCUUCUACCAACCCACGACGCGCCAAGAAUCGCGCUGCGAACACAGCAGAGGGGCGCGGUCUGCAGGAUGACAUUUCCUUCAAGAAAAGCUCCCUGUCUCAUCGCAAGAGGAAGCAUCCGGAGGAGGAGGACAUCCCUUGCAAUGAUCGACUCUCCUCCUUAUUCGACGGGAUACCGAGCUACCGGAAUGGCUCUGCUCCUGCCGAUGCACAGGGCGGCGGCAGCGACACGAUGCCUCUGGUGUUCAAGUUCGGGGAGGAAGCAGAAGUGAAAUCAGAGCAUGACGAGCUUGAGGAUCAACUGUGGGGAGACUACGAUUUUGUCCUUGAAGCCAACAAUGCCAAUGCUCACAGCUCCGAGGAGGGGCAAGAUAUUCCAUCAGACCAAAAAACUUUAAGCAGUCAAGGGAAGCAUGAUUUAUUUACCGAUGACCAAAUUGGAACUUGGUGCAAGCACUGCGGCUUUGUUCUUGAAAUUAAAUAUGUAAUGGCCCCUAUGGGGAAUUAUUCAGCGGAAAGGGAACCAACGGCUCGCGAGCUGAACAUGGAUAAUAUUAUUUUUAAUGGCAUCUUAACAACAAUGGGGUAUGAAGGAGAGUACAUCACUGGUAGUCAUAAAAGUGGCCCUGUAUGGAAUCUCAUUCCUGGUAUCCGAGAAGACAUGUUCCCACACCAGCAGGAAGCCUUUCAUAUUGUGAAAACUGAUACUCUAAGUGGCUGUGUGAUCUCUCACGCCCCAGGGACGGGGAAGACCAGAUUAGCGAUCACAUUUGUUCAAUCUUACCUCGAGGUUUUCCCGCAGUGUUUUCCGGUCAUCAUUGCCCCCAAGGGGAUGCUUGACACAUGGGAAACUGAGUUCAGGAAAUGGAAUGUGAAGAUACCUUUCCACAUACUGAAUUCCAGAGAUAUCCACUGGCAUGGAGAUAAAACGGUCGAAAAACUGGCCUCGAAUGAUAAGGAUUUGGCCCGAAGGCUGUCCAUAAGCAGCAUUGACAAGAAUUAUAUGCGCGCGCUGAAAUUGCGAUCGUGGGCUGAGGGGAGUAGAAUCAUUGGACUAAGCUACAGCCUGUUCCAGAAGCUCACCAAAGGAGAAGGCAAUGAUGAUGACAAGCUGAGGCAGAUGCUUCUUCAAAGGCCUGACUUGCUGAUCCUUGAUGAAGGACACACGCCAAGGAACAAGGAGAGCAAUAUUUUUAAGGCUCUUGCUGAAGUUCGUACAAAAAGGAGAAUUAUCCUAUCCGGAACUCCUUUUCAAAAUAACUUUGAAGAGCUUCGGAGCAUGUUUAGCCUGUUACUUCUGGCAAAUUUUGAAGCCAUGGAUUUCUUUCCUUCUUCGAAACUACACAACAUGACAGAUGUGAUGGUAGACGAGAUCAGGAAAAAAUUGGACCCUUUUGUGCACAUCCAUAAUGGCGACAUUCUUCAUAAAUCCCUCAAAGGACUAAGAGAAUCUGUUGUGAUUCUGAAUCCUCUUCCCAGCCAGAAGAGGAUAAUCGCAAUGAUGGAGAAACAUAAAACACGUGGCAAACAUCCUCAGAAAAAUAAGACACAGGGCAGCACUUUUGAGUCGGAAUACAAGAUAUCUCUUGCGUCUGUACAUCCGUCCCUCGUUGCUGGCAUGGAAAAGUUGCCAAAAGAAGUAAAAUCUGUUGUGGACGAGCUUCCAUUGGAGAGGUUACGGCUGAAGCCAAGUGAAGGAGUUAAGACGAGGUUUGUGUACGAGGUUGUGCGUUUAUGUCAAGCUUUAAAAGAGCGAGUGCUUGUGUUUAGCCAGUUUCUUGAACCAUUGGAGUUGAUGAUGCAACAACUGAGGAAUGAGUUCAACUGGACCAAAGGCAAAGAGAUCAUGUAUAUGAGUGGAAAUGUCUCCCCUAAAACCCGCAAAACCUUGAUGGUGGCCUUCAAUGAUGUGGAGAGCGAGGCCAACGUGAUGCUUGCAUCGACCAAGGCGUGUGGAGAAGGUAUCACCCUCGUUGGAGCAUCGCGUGUGGUGCUCCUUGAUGUUGUGUGGAACCCUUCUGUUGGAAGGCAGGCGAUUGGACGUGCAUAUCGUAUUGGUCAACAAAAGAUUGUCCAUACAUACAAUCUAAUCGCAAAAGGAACACAAGAGAAGGCCAAAUAUGACACACAAGCUAAGAAGGACCAAAUGUCCAAAUUGCUAUUUUCAAGUGAGCCACAGCCUGCAGAGUGCAGCCGGUCAUCAGAAUUUAUUUCCAAUGACAGGAUUUUGGAACAGAUGACUGAAGAUGAAGAUCUGAAAGAGAUGUUUGUGAGUAUUCUCCCGUCGCAGUGGUGA
RNAcentral lists this ribosomal RNA (3261 nucleotides) under Triticum aestivum (bread wheat). RNAcentral's name for it is "partial small subunit ribosomal RNA". The record is from RNAcentral. Lineage: Eukaryota; Viridiplantae; Streptophyta; Magnoliopsida; Poales; Poaceae.